RNAcentral lists this ribosomal RNA (253 nucleotides) under uncultured bacterium. RNAcentral describes it as "partial 16S ribosomal RNA". It matches the Rfam family "Bacterial small subunit ribosomal RNA", at positions 524 to 776 of the family's 1533-position model. The record is from RNAcentral.
UACGAAGGGGGCGAGCGUUGUUCGGAAUUACUGGGCGUAAAGGGAGCGUAGGCGGAUUGGUAAGUCAGUGGUGAAAUCUGUGGGCUUAACCCACAAACUGCCAUUGAUACUGCUGAUCUAGAGUACAGUUGCCGUUGGCGGAAUAUGACAUGUAGUGGUGAAAUACUUAGAUAUGUCAUAGAACACCGAUUGCGAAGGCAGCUAACGAAGCUGUAACUGACGCUGAGGCUCGAAAGUGCGGGGAUCAAACAGG